CCUACGGGUGGCAGCAGUGAGGAAUAUUGGUCAAUGGGCGAGAGCCUGAACCAGCCAAGUCGCGUGAGGGAGUACUGCCCUAUGGGUUGUAAACCUCUUUUGUCGGGGAGCAAAAGCCGGACGUGUCCGGCUGUGAGAGUACCCGAAGAAAAAGCAUCGGCUAACUCCGUGCCAGCAGCCGCGGUAAUACGGAGGAUGCGAGCGUUAUCCGGAUUUAUUGGGUUUAAAGGGUGCGCAGGCGGAUUUUUAAGUCAGCGGUCAAAUCGUGGGGCUCAACCCCAUCCAGCCGUUGAAACUGGGGAUCUAGAGUGUGCGAGAGGUAUGCGGAAUGCGUGGUGUAGCGGUGAAAUGCAUAGAUAUCGGGAAGAACACCGAUGGCGAAGGCAGCUCUCUGGGCCGUCACUGACGCUGAGGCGCGAAAGCUGGGGGAGCGAACAGGAUUAGAUACCCGGGUAGUC
RNAcentral lists this ribosomal RNA (458 nucleotides) under uncultured bacterium. RNAcentral describes it as "partial 16S ribosomal RNA". It matches the Rfam family "Bacterial small subunit ribosomal RNA", at positions 338 to 795 of the family's 1533-position model. The record is from RNAcentral.